AACGAACGCUGGCGGCAGGCCUAACACAUGCAAGUCGAACGCCCUAGCAAUAGGGAGUGGCGCACGGGUGCGUAACGCGUGGGAAUAUGCCCUUCACUGCGGAAUAACGUUUGGAAACGAACGGUAAUACUGCAUAAUGACUCCGGUCCAAAGAUUUAUCGGUGAAGGAUUAGCCCGCGUUAGAUUAGCUAGUUGGUGAGGUAAUGGCUCACCAAGGCGACGAUCUAUAGCUGGUCUGAGAGGAUGAUCAGCCACACUGGGACUGAGACACGGCCCAGACUCCUACGGGAGGCAGCAGUGAGGAAUAUUGGACAAUGGGCGCAAGCCUGAUCCAGCCAUGCCGCGUGAGUGAAGAAGGCCUUCGGGUUGUAAAGGCUCUUUCAGAUGUGAAGAUAAUGACGGUAGCAUCAGAAGAAGACCCCGGCUAAAUUCGUGCCAGCAGCCGCGGUAAU
This 452-nucleotide ribosomal RNA is filed under the name uncultured bacterium. Its description in RNAcentral is "bacterial SSU rRNA". It matches the Rfam family "Bacterial small subunit ribosomal RNA", at positions 29 to 524 of the family's 1533-position model. The record is from RNAcentral.